RNAcentral lists this long non-coding RNA (2468 nucleotides) under Nicotiana tabacum (common tobacco). RNAcentral describes it as "long non-coding RNA (NTAB_LNC012586)". The record is from RNAcentral. Lineage: Eukaryota; Viridiplantae; Streptophyta; Magnoliopsida; Solanales; Solanaceae.
CAACUUGUGCCGCCCGUAAGAAGUCUAGGCACUUGGCCCUAGACAUGUCGUGGCGCUUUAUCUUAGGAUCAUAAUCCAUGCGCACCCUGGGGGAUUGGCUUAGGACAUGUCUUGUCCCUCGCCCAAGACUGAGCAUCGCUCUCGCGUGCACAGCCCAAUCCUCAAGCUUGACACUCGCCUAGUGCAUCCGCAACUAGCUCGUGCCUCGCCCGAGUAAGGCAACCUUUAGUCCUUGGCCAUUGUCAUGUGCGUCUUUCGUGACAUGCCCAUACAUAGCCCUCGCGACACGCUUCCAUCUUGAAUAGUGCAAUGUUGUCCCACAACUGCACGUUUAGGCCAUCGGACCCUUGCUUGCAUGGUUGAACCCAAGCCAUGCUCACAAGUCGACACAUGAUGCCUCUAAGAUAGGUGCGUCAAGUAUCCAAUCGGCACAGAGGUCUCCUUCCAACAUUCGGCAGCCCGCGGGGAUGGCCGUCCCACACAUCGAGCCUCCAUCGCCACUUUGGUGCCCAACGCUAGCCCGAAGGCAUCGCGCCGUCAAUAGAGUUUCCAAACUCGUAUGGAUACCUAGGACACUCCUUUGAGUCAUCCACGUAGGCCCUUGAGGUCGCCCCCAAGGUAGCUCGUUCGAUACAGCUUGGUGGCAGCACGUAUGGGGGAGGCAGGUUGGAGCUUUCAUCACCUAUACCCCCCUUAUAUAUGCUUAAAAUUAAAAAGCCCAAGUUGCCCGAGUAGACAAAUCUACGUCAGACAAUCAAAAGAGCCUUUUUUCACCAGUUCUUUGCAGAAGUCACAACCCCAAUGUGUGGGUUGUGACAUCCUCCCACACUCAUAAUGUCAUUGUCCCCGAUGACACAUCAUGGACUACGACAUCCCGGAGUCUACCCCCUCAGGUAUGUACUUCGCGGCUCCCUUGGUCCUGUGGGUUGGACUUCCUCGAAGUCCUUUCUCAAAAGGAGUCGUGCCCCAUGCACUUCUCUCCCAANNNNNNNNNNNNNNNNNNNNNNNNNUCUGGUGUCUAACUUUGUAGUUGACCCACACUAGUCAACUACAUCAUGGCCCUCACAGCCUUCAUGUCUGUCUGAAGCUUUCCCUUCACAGGUAAGCACAUCAACGUGCUCUUUGGCGCGGCUCUAGUAGCUCAAUCGCUCACAUAGCCUUCAAACGCCCUCUAGCAUAGCUCCCGUAGCUUUUCCUUGCCCUCACUACCUUGAAGUUGUGUUGGCUUCCGGACUCACAACUUUGCCCAUAUGCCUCUUGCAUAGGCGGGAUCCUCCCACACUCAAUGUGGAGGAUACUUCUUAGCGUUGUCGUCCCACUCGGCAUUCAGCCAGCUCUUGGGACGACUCUUGGUGAGUACUACAUUCUCAAAGUCAUAACAUCGCUGCAUUCCUGAACAAAGCUCUUUGUUUUCCAACUGUCACCUCCUCAGCAAGUACCCAAUGCUCCCGGUAAUACUUCAAUACUCGCCCUAUAGACAGGUACUCUCUUGGUCCUGCUAGCACGGCUUCCUGGUUCGGUGUGCCUCGCACUUGGACUCUCAACGGUCCCCGAUAAUUCGGCGUACCCCUUUCCAGAAUGAUGACAUCUCCCAACUUGGAAAUUCGCCCAAUUCUGAAGCUUCGCUAUACCCUCAAAUUCGUUUCCUCACCUUAGCAAUGCCCUCAGGCAGUCCAAAAGUCUAACCACGUAGGAAAGACAUUCAACUGAUGCAUUACACGUAUCCUUGGCAAUCCGCUAUGAUCAUGCCCAAAGUUUAUAGUUCACGGCUCCCACUCUUUUAAAAUAUGGUUGCACGACCUGGCAAAUAUGGCCUUCUCUUGACCAUCGGACUCAUCGGCAUAUUACCAUAUUCAGUAAUGACCUAGACUUCCGAAAGACAAUGGAAUCACCCAUUUCUUUCUUUGACCAGCAGUAUCGGGUUCUCGAUCUCUGGUGGCAUAUGAACAUCAAUCUCUGCUUUGACAUGAUCUCCGCACUGACAUCCAAUAUGCACUCGCCAUAUCCACCCUUGCCUUGACAUUGUGCCAUGGCAUAGUAUGGCCUUAAUCAGCCCUGAUACCACGUGUCACAGGCUGACUUCCUUACGCUCGCUAGCGGCACCGAUUCGCCCGUGCGGCGCCUGCAGUUUCCCUCACUGCAGGCCAGCCUAUUUCCUUUCCCAGGUUUUCAAGCACGAUCAUCUGUAUGUUGGUGGAACUCGCCCAUAGGGCUCGCCCCAACUUAUGUCGCCGGUAAGAUGUCUAGGCACUUGGCCUUAGACAUGUCGUAACGCUUCAUCUUAGGAUCAUAAUCCAUGCUCGCUCUGGGGGAUUGGCUUAGGACAUGUCUUGUCCCUCUCCCAAGACUGAGCAUCGCUCUCGCGUGCACAACCUAAUCCUCAAGCUUGACACUCGCCUAGUGCAUCCGCAACUAGCUCGUGCCUCGCCCGAGUAAGGCAACCUUUAGUCCUUGGCCAUUGUCAUGCG